Molecule: ribosomal RNA, 497 nt
Filed under: uncultured bacterium
Lineage: Bacteria
Description: partial 16S ribosomal RNA
Rfam family: Bacterial small subunit ribosomal RNA
Source: RNAcentral
GAUGAACGCUGGCGGCGUGCCUAAUACAUGCAAGUCGAGCGAACGGACGAGAAGCUUGCAUCUCUUUUGUUAGCGGCGGACGGGUGAGUAACACGUGGGGAACCUACCUAUAAGACUGGGAUAACUUCGGGAAACCAUUGCUAAUACCGGAUAAUAUUUUUAACCGCAUGGUUCAAAAGUGAAAGACGGUAUUGCUGUAACUAAUGGAUGGACCCGCGUUGCAUUAGCUAGUUGGUAAGGUAACGGCUUACAAAGCGAAGGAUGCAUAGCCGACCGGAGAGGGUGUCCGCCCCCACUGGACCUGGAACACGGUCCAGCCUCCUACGGGAGGCACCAGUAGGGAAUCUUCGGCAAUGGGCGAAGUCCUGCCGGAGCACCGCCGCGUGAGUGAUGAAGGUCUCCGGACCGUAAACUUCUGUUAUUAGGGAGGAACAUAUGUGUAAGUAACUGUGCACAUCUUGACGGUAACUAAUCAGAAAGCCACGGCUAACUACGUG